CUGUUGGCUGUGGGUUCCUGGCACUGUCUCUUAUUGCUGGGUGGCCAGGCUGCACCUGGAGAGGACCCUUGCCCUCAAAGCCCCAGUACAUGGUUGUAUAUUCUAGUUGUAAGUCGUUCCAGUUCUUCCAUGUGAGCCACCACCACAGCAUGGCAACUGGCAGAUAGAUGUUGUGGUUCUGUGACCAGAAAGUGAACCCAGGCCACCAAGAAGUGAAGACAGGGAGGCUUAGAGACAUGAAGUAGCUCACCAGGGUGACACAACUGGGAAGGGGCAGAGUUGAGAUUCAAACCCAGGUCUACCUGACCCUAUAGUUUGAGUGAAAGAAGAUGGAUUAGGACAUUUCCCUCUUCUUUCAGCUCUAUUGCCCCCUCCAGUUCCUUCCCUGUCCUCUCAUAAAUGAAGCACAGACUGAAGAUAAAACAGAAGAUCCUGUUUUGGAAGGUUUUUCAUCCUCUCAGGAGGAAUGAGACGAGGGUCCUCUGAACAAGCCAUGAAUGUUGGUCCUCCAUGCAUCCCACUCCAUGUUCCUCGCAGUGUUUCCUGAGCUUAUGCACAUC
RNAcentral lists this long non-coding RNA (560 nucleotides) under Equus asinus (donkey). RNAcentral describes it as "lncRNA (ENSEASG00005034044.1)". Lineage: Eukaryota; Metazoa; Chordata; Mammalia; Perissodactyla; Equidae. The record is from RNAcentral.